CGACUCUGCUGUUGCCCAGGCUGGAGUGCAGUGGCGCAAUCUCAGCUCAGUGCAGUCUCCGCCUCCCAGGUUCAAGCGAUUCUCCUGCCUUAGCCUCCCAAAUAGCUGGGACUAAAGGUGCGUGCCACCACACCCAGCUAAUUUUUGUAUUUUUUGGUAGAGACAAGGUUUCACCAUGUUGGCUAGGUUGGUCUCGAACUCCUGGCCUCAAGUGAUCUGCCUGCCUCGGCCUCCCAAAGUGCUGGGAUUACAGGCAUGAGCCACCGUGCCUGGCCAGAAAUUUAUUUCUUACAGUUCUGGAGGCUGAGAAGUCCCAGGUGGAGGGGCUGCGUCUGGUGAGUCUUUUUGCUGGUGGGGACUCUCUGCAGAGUCCUAAGGCUGUGCAGGGCAUCACAUGGUGAGGGGGCUAAGCUUGCUUACAUUGGUAGCUCAGGUCUCUCUUCCUCUUCUUAUACAGCCACCAGUUGUCCUCCCAUGAUAACCCAUUAAUCCAUUAACUCACCAACCCAUAAUCCAUGAAUGGAUUAAUCCAUUCACGAGGGCAGAGUCCUCAUGAUCCAAUCACCUCAUAAAAGCCCUGCCUCUCAAUACAGCCACAUUGGGGAUUACGUUUCAGUAUGAGUUUUGGAGAAGACUUUCAAAUGUCCAUUCUAUUCAGCCAGUAUUUAUUGAGCACAUACUUAGUGCCAGGCAGGCACUGUGUUAGGGCCUAGAGAUACAAUGGAGAACAAAAGACACAGUAUUUGCCCUCCUGGAGUUUUCAUUUCAACUCCUCGCCUGUUGUACCUUUUUUUUUUUUUUUUUUUUUUCUGAGACAGAGUCUCGCUCUGUUGCCCAGGCUGGAGUGCAGUGGUGCGAUCUCGGCUCACUGCAACCCUCACCUCCUGGGCUCAAGCGUUUCUCCUGCCUCAGCCUCCCGAGUAGCUGGGAUUACAGGCGCCUGCCACUGCACCUGGCUAAUUUUUUGUCUUUUUAGUAGAGAUGGGCUUUUGCCAUGUUGGCCAGGCUGGUCUUGAAAUCCUGAUCUCAGGUGAUCCGCUCACCUUGGCCCUCAAAAGUGCUAGGAUUAUAGGUGUGAGCCACCGUGCCUGGCCUUGUUGUACCUUUAAACCAUGUCUUGGUUGGGCACAGUGGCUUGCAACUCUAAUCCUAGCACCUUGGGAGGCUGAGGUGGGAGGACUGCUUGAGGCUAUGAGUUCAAGACAAGCCUGGGCAACAUAGUGAGACGCUGUCUCUAAAAAAACAAAAAGGAAAUUAGCUAGGUGUAGUGGCACAUACCUGUAGUCCCAGCUACUUGGGAGGCUGAGGCAGGAGGAUCGCUUGAGCCUGGGAGUUUGAGGCUGCAGGGAGCUGUGAUCCUGCCACUACACUCUAGCCUGACAGAGUGAAACCCUGUCUUGGGGAAGAAAAAAAAUAUAUACACACACACACACACACACACACACGCAUACACACACACAUGCAUGCACACACACACACACCGUAUUGUUCUUUACCUAUUCAUUUGCUCAGCAGCAUGAAAUAUUAUACAUAUUACGUAUAUACCAGUCAUUUACUGAACACCUAUUAUGUAUUAUAGAUGAAACAUACUUUAUCUAGAUAUAUAAAGCAUGCAUAUGCAUGUGUGUGUUAAGACUACAUAAAACAAGCGUUUAUUGAAUGCCAACUAUAUGCUACAAAUAAACAUGUUUGUAUGUAUAAAACAUGCAUAUACAGUAUAUACAUAUAUGUAUAUUCACGUGUUUAUGGAGCACCUACUUGGUGCCCACACUGUGCUGGGCACCAGGGAGAGCACAGCCUAGUAGAAGAGAUGGAGAAGAAAACUGUGCCUUCAUAGAUGGGGAAGUGCUCUAAAACUGAGGACAAGUUGGAGAGGUGGCCCUCUUACUGCCUCGGAAAGUCAACGAUGUGAAAUAAGAAAGGGCACAUAUAUACACCAUGGAAUACUAUGCAGCCAUAAAAAUGAUGAGUUCAUGUCCUUUGUAGGGACAUGGAUGAAGCUGGAAACCAUCAUUCUCAGCAAACUAUCGCAAGGACAAGAAACCAAACACCUCAUGUUCUCACUCAUAGGUGGGAGUUGAACACUGAGAACACAUGGACACAAGAAGGGGAACAUCACACACCGGGGCCUG
This 2132-nucleotide long non-coding RNA is filed under the name Homo sapiens (human). RNAcentral's name for it is "HSALNT0350236". The record is from RNAcentral. Lineage: Eukaryota; Metazoa; Chordata; Mammalia; Primates; Hominidae.